Molecule: ribosomal RNA, 253 nt
Filed under: uncultured bacterium
Lineage: Bacteria
Description: partial 16S ribosomal RNA
Rfam family: Bacterial small subunit ribosomal RNA
Source: RNAcentral
UACAGAGGUCCCAAGCGUUGUUCGGAUUCACUGGGCGUAAAGGGUGCGUAGGCGGUCGGGUAAGUCUGAUGUGAAAUCUCCGAGCUCAACUCGGAAAUGGCAUUGGAUACUAUUCGGCUAGAGGAGUGGAGGGGGGACUGGAAUACUUGGUGUAGCAGUGAAAUGCGUAGAUAUCAAGUGGAACACCAGUGGCGAAGGCGAGUCCCUGGACAUUUCCUGACGCUGAGGCACGAAAGCUAGGGGAGCAAACAGG